GGUGUGACUGGAUCUAAUAUUCAAACGAUGCACCUUGCACCUUGUCUGGUAUUAACUGGAUGCUGCUGCUGCUGCUAAGUCACUUCAGUCGUGUCCAACUCUGUGCGACCCCAUAGACGGCAGCCCACCAGGCUCCCCCGUCCCUGGGAUUCUCCAGGCAAGAACACUGGACUAAACCUCCUGACUCAACAAGAUUAUGUCAAACUCAAGCUCAAAAAGUUGCCACCUCAUCAGCUCCUCCCUCCUUGUCAGCUGGGGAAGUUCCAAGGAUUUUAAGUUUCUUUCACCAUGGAGUAGAACUAAAUGAUGAAUCACCUACCCUUCUACUACAGGCAAUGACAAGCCUGAAUAUAACUUGUUUGCUGAGUUUUUCUUAUUUUCCAGGGUUUUGGUUGAAUCUAUAGGAAUAUCUUUAAAGAACUCUGUCCCAUCCAAUAGGAAUGAGAUCCUGAUGCUGGGAAAGACUGAGGGCAGGGAAGAAGAGUGCGACAGAGGAUGAGAUGGCUGGAUGGCAUCAUCGACUCAAUGGGCAUGUGUUUGAGCAAACUCUGGGAGAUGGUGAAGGACAGGGAAGCCUAGCAUACUGC
Bos taurus (domestic cattle) is the source of this 587-nucleotide long non-coding RNA. NCBI's taxonomy places the organism in Eukaryota, Metazoa, Chordata, Mammalia, Artiodactyla, Bovidae. The record is from Ensembl.